AACGAACGCUGGCGGCAUGCCUAACACAUGCAAGUCGAACGAGACCUUCGGGUCUAGUGGCGCACGGGUGCGUAACGCGGGGGAACCUGCCCGUAGGUUCGGAAUAACUCCCCGAAAGGGGUGCUAAUACCGGGUAAUGUCUUCGGACCAAAGAUUUAUCGCCUUUGGGUGGGCCCGCGUUGGAUUAGCUAGUUGGUAGGGUAAAAGCCUACCAAGGCGACGAUCCAUAGCUGGUCUGAGAGGAUGAUCAGCCACACUGGGACUGAGACACGGCCCAGACUCCUACGGGAGGCAGCAGUGGGGAAUAUUGGACAAUGGGCGAGAGCCUGCACCAGCAAUGCCGCGUGAGUGAUGAAGGCCUUAGGGUUGUAAAGCUCUUUUACCCGGGAUGAUAAUGACGGUACCGGGAGAAUAAGCUCCGGCUAACUCCGUG
RNAcentral lists this ribosomal RNA (433 nucleotides) under uncultured bacterium. Its description in RNAcentral is "partial 16S ribosomal RNA". It matches the Rfam family "Bacterial small subunit ribosomal RNA", at positions 29 to 507 of the family's 1533-position model. The record is from RNAcentral.